This 790-nucleotide long non-coding RNA is filed under the name Nicotiana benthamiana. RNAcentral describes it as "long non-coding RNA (NBEN_LNC020735)". Lineage: Eukaryota; Viridiplantae; Streptophyta; Magnoliopsida; Solanales; Solanaceae. The record is from RNAcentral.
UGAUCCUCUAGCAUUGCAGCAAUUCUUGAAUUGUCUUGGAUCAGCAAAAAAAAAAAACUCUUUUUUGAAUGCAAUGCUAUUUUUCUUGGUUUCUUGUUUUUCUUUCAUACUUCUACUUUCUAAGUCUUCGAAGAGUACAAUGGGAGCUUUCUCAAAUAUUUGGUUUUGUGAAGAUUUUUUGAAGUUUUUGGCUUCAUGGUUCAGAAAAAUGGGAAUGCUAUUAGUUACUUGAAUUUGCAUGUACUGAAAAAGCAUGUUGAGUCAAACACCAAACCUUAGAAUCAAACCCAAAAAUGUUAUUAGUACCAAAUUUUUGCUCAAACACCAAUCCUUAGAAUCAAACCCAAAAAUGUUAUUAGCACCAAAUUUUUGCUCGAACACCAAACCUUAGAAUCACCAUACACACCAAUAUAAAUCCUCAUACAACAUGGUGUGGAACAUUUAUAUUUCCAACUAAUUCAACAAAAAAAUCUCAAAUAAACAGAGAAAACCCAAAUCUAACAGAAAGUACCCAAAGCAGCAACCUAAACAAAAUUAAAGCCCAAAAACACACAAAAAAUUACAGAUUAUACAAACCCAAAAAUAGGGAAGAUGAAACAUUGUCGGUUUCUGUGCUAGACUGAGUGAUAGAGACGUCUAUGCCACAGCUAUAGGGAAAAAAUUGAGGAAAGUCGAUGAAAAAAAAAGGGAAAAACAAAGAUUGAGUUUAAAUCUUACAAACAAACUGAGAAAUUCAUACAGAACUUUUGAUUUUAAGAAAAUUAAAGCAGAAAGAAGCAUGAAAUUUUAG